Molecule: unclassified non-coding RNA, 135 nt
Filed under: uncultured Rozellomycota
Lineage: Eukaryota; Fungi; Rozellomycota
Description: uncultured Cryptomycota sequence contains ITS2
Source: RNAcentral
CUAUCCCUGAUCCGAUUGCAUCCACGUGCAGUCGGUCGACAUGGGCCUUCAGCACUGAUCGCCUCGAAUUGCUCGCGAUCGUCGUGGUAGACAGUGGCAGCGAUGCCGUCCGUGUUGUCGACGAUCAACCCGUGC